This 505-nucleotide ribosomal RNA is filed under the name Metamycoplasma phocicerebrale. RNAcentral's name for it is "bacterial LSU rRNA". It matches the Rfam family "Bacterial large subunit ribosomal RNA", at positions 1 to 500 of the family's 2925-position model. Lineage: Bacteria; Bacillati; Mycoplasmatota; Mycoplasmoidales; Metamycoplasmataceae. The record is from RNAcentral.
CUAUUAAACAAGAUAAGAGUUUUUGGUGGAUGCCUUGGGUCUGGAAGUCGAUGAAGGACGUGAUUACCUGCGAUAAGCCUCGGUUAGCUGGAAAUAUGCUGUGAUCCGGGGAUUUCCGAAUGGGGAAACCUAAUUGAGUUAAUCCUCAAUUAUCAUAUCGAUGAAUUCAUAGUCGAAUGAAGAGACACGCUGUGAAUUGAAACAUCUCAGUAGCAGCAGGAAGAGAAAAUAAAGAAUGAUUCCCUCAGUAGUGGCGAGCGAACGGGGAAAAGCCCAAACCAACAUUCGUUGUUGGGGUUGUAGGACUACAUUUUAGAGUUACAAAAUUUACAUAUAGCAGAAUAAGUUGGAAUGCUUAAACAUAGAAGGUGAAAUUCCCGUAAGCGAAAUGUGUAGAUCUCUUUGUAGUAUCCUGAGUAGGGCGGGGCACGUGAAACCCUGUCUGAAUCUGCCGGGACCACCCGGUAAGGCUAAAUACUAACCAGACACCGAUAGUGAACUAGUA